UACAGAGGGUGCAAGCGUUGUUCGGAAUUAUUGGGCGUAAAGGGUGCGUAGGUGGCGCGCUAAGUCAGGUGUGAAAUUUCGGAGCUUAACUCCGAAACUGCAUUUGAUACUGGCGUGCUUGAGGACUGGAGAGGAGACUGGAAUUCACGGUGUAGCAGUGAAAUGCGUAGAUAUCGUGAGGAAGACCAGUGGCGAAGGCGGGGUCUCUGGACAGUUCCUGACACUUGAGGCACGAAGGCCAGGGGAGCAAACGGGG
This 256-nucleotide ribosomal RNA is filed under the name uncultured bacterium. RNAcentral describes it as "partial 16S ribosomal RNA". It matches the Rfam family "Bacterial small subunit ribosomal RNA", at positions 524 to 777 of the family's 1533-position model. The record is from RNAcentral.